This 227-nucleotide ribosomal RNA is filed under the name uncultured bacterium. Its description in RNAcentral is "partial 16S ribosomal RNA". It matches the Rfam family "Bacterial small subunit ribosomal RNA", at positions 524 to 751 of the family's 1533-position model. The record is from RNAcentral.
UACGUAGGGUGCAAGCAUUAAUCGGAAUUACUGGGCGUAAAGCGUGCGCAGGCGGUUUUGUAAGUCUGUCGUGAAAUCCCCGGGCUCAACCUGGGAAUUGCGAUGGAGACUGCAAGGCUAGAAUCUGGCAGAGGGGGUAGAAUUCCACGUGUGAGCAGUGAAAUGCGUAGAGAUGUGGAGGAACACCGAUGGCGAAGGCAGCCCCUGGGUCAAGAUUGACGCUCAUG